Molecule: ribosomal RNA, 269 nt
Filed under: uncultured prokaryote
Description: partial 16S ribosomal RNA
Rfam family: Bacterial small subunit ribosomal RNA
Source: RNAcentral
UACGGAGGAUGCAAGCGUUAUCCGGAUUCAUUGGGUUUAAAGGGUGCGCAGGCGGGGGAAUAAGUCAGUGGUGAAAAGCUGCCGCUCAACGGUAGUCUUGCCAAUGAUACUGUUUUUCUUGAGUGUGGAUGAAGUAGGCGGAAUUUGUGGUGUAGCGGUGAAAUGCAUAGAUAUCGGGAGGAACACCGGUGGCGAAGGCGGCCUCCUGGACCAUUCCUGACACUCAGACGCGAAAGCUAGGGUAGCAAACGGGAUUAGAUACCCGCGUA